UGAGGUGUAGCGCAGUCUAGUCAGUGUAUCUGUUUUGGUUACAAAGGGCCAUAGGUUCGAAUCCUGUCACCUUGA
Molecule: transfer RNA, 75 nt
Filed under: Hordeum vulgare
Lineage: Eukaryota; Viridiplantae; Streptophyta; Magnoliopsida; Poales; Poaceae
Also listed under: 1 other name
Description: tRNA-Pro
Rfam family: tRNA
About the family: Transfer RNA (tRNA) molecules are approximately 80 nucleotides in length. Their secondary structure includes four short double-helical elements and three loops (D, anti-codon, and T loops).
Source: RNAcentral